UGGUGGGAACAUACUGAAUCCAAUGUCCAAUGACUGUCAUACUCAGUGGUCCCAUCUGAUACAAUCGAUAAAUCAUUCCUACUAUCCUCAGAUGAGUGUGCACCACUCUCACUAGUCGAAACACCCUUAGAAGAGCCCUUCCCCUUCUCAUCCUUCAGAAAUGGGUAAUUUCUCUUUAGUUGACUAGGCUAAUGACACUUGUAG
This 204-nucleotide long non-coding RNA is filed under the name Elaeis guineensis (African oil palm). RNAcentral's name for it is "long non-coding RNA (EGUI_LNC004865)". The record is from RNAcentral. Lineage: Eukaryota; Viridiplantae; Streptophyta; Magnoliopsida; Arecales; Arecaceae.